This 253-nucleotide ribosomal RNA is filed under the name uncultured bacterium. RNAcentral's name for it is "partial 16S ribosomal RNA". It matches the Rfam family "Bacterial small subunit ribosomal RNA", at positions 524 to 776 of the family's 1533-position model. The record is from RNAcentral.
UACGGGGGGAGCAAGCGUUGUUCGGAAUUACUGGGCGUAAAGGGUUUGUAGGUGGCUUGUUAAGUCAGACGUGAAAUCCCUCAGCUUAACUGGGGAACUGCGUCUGAUACUGGCGAGCUUGAGUGCAGGAGAGGAACGCGGAAUUCCAGGUGUAGCGGUGAAAUGCGUAGAUAUCUGGAGGAACACCGGUGGCGAAGGCGGCGUUCUGGACUGCAACUGACACUGAGAAACGAAAGCCAGGGUAGCAAACGGG